UUAAGUGACUAAGCGUACACGGUGGAUGCCUAGGCAGUCAGAGGCGAUGAAGGACGUGCUAAUCUGCGAUAAGCGUCGGUGAGCUGAUAUGAAGCAUUAUUAGCCGGCGAUGUCCGAAUGGGGAAACCCAGUGCAAUCCGUUGCACUAUCGUUAAGUGAAUACAUAGCUUAACGAGGCGAACCAGGGGAACUGAAACAUCUAAGUACCCUGAGGAAAAGAAAUCAACCGAGAUUCCCCUAGUAGCGGCGAGCGAACGGGGAAGAGCCCAGAACCUGAAUCAGUUUGUGCAUUAGUGGAAGCGUCUGGAAAGUCGCGCGAUACCGGGUGAUAGCCCCGUACACGAAGGUGCACAGCUGUGAGUUCGAUGAGUAGGGGCGGGACACGUGUUAUCCUGUCUGAAUAUGGGGGGGACCAUCCUCCAAGGCUAAAUACUCCUGACUGACCGAUAGUGAACCAGUACCGUGAGGGAAAGGCGAAAAGAACCCCGGCGAGGGGAGUGAAAUAGAACCUGAAACCGUGUACGUACAAGCAGUGGGAGCAUCCUUCGGGGUGUGACUGCGUACCUUUUGUAUAAUGGGUCAGCGACUUAUAUUUUGUAGCAAGGUUAACCGAAUAGGGGAGCCGUAGGGAAACCGAGUCUUAACUGGGCGUCUAGUUGCAAGGUAUAGACCCGAAACCCGGUGAUCUAGCCAUGGGCAGGUUGAAGGUUGGGUAACACUAACUGGAGGACCGAACCGACUAAUGUUGAAAAAUUAGCGGAUGACUUGUGGCUGGGGGUGAAAGGCCAAUCAAACCGGGAGAUAGCUGGUUCUCCCCGAAAGCUAUUUAGGUAGCGCCUCGUGAACUCAUCUUCGGGGGUAGAGCACUGUUUCGGCUAGGGGGUCAUCCCGACUUACCAACCCGAUGCAAACUACGAAUACCGAAGAAUGUUAUCACGGGAGACACACGGCGGGUGCUAACGUCCGUCGUGAAGAGGGAAACAACCCAGACCGCCAGCUAAGGUCCCAAAGUCAUGGUUAAGUGGGAAACGAUGUGGGAAGGCAUAGACAGCCAGGAUGUUGGCUUAGAAGCAGCCAUCAUUUAAAGAAAGCGUAAUAGCUCACUGGUCGAGUCGGCCUGCGCGGAAGAUGUAACGGGGCUAAACCAUGCACCGAAGCUGCGGCAGCGACACUAUGUGUUGUUGGGUAGGGGAGCGUUCUGUAAGCCUGUGAAGGUGGCCUGUGAGGGCUGCUGGAGGUAUCAGAAGUGCGAAUGCUGACAUAAGUAACGAUAAAGCGGGUGAAAAGCCCGCUCGCCGGAAGACCAAGGGUUCCUGUCCAACGUUAAUCGGGGCAGGGUAAGUCGACCCCUAAGGCGAGGCCGAAAGGCGUAGUCGAUGGGAAACAGGUUAAUAUUCCUGUACUUGGUGUUAUUGCGAAGGGGGGACGGAGAAGGCUAGACCGGCCGGGCGACGGUUGUCCCGGUUUAAGCGUGUAGGUGUGAUGACCUGGCAAAUCCGGUUAUCUUUAACACUGAGGCGUGAUGACGAGGCACUACGGUGCUGAAGUGGUUAAUGCCCUGCUUCCAGGAAAAGCCUCUAAGCUCUAGAUAACACUGAAUCGUACCCCAAACCGACACAGGUGGUCAGGUAGAGAAUACCAAGGCGCUUGAGAGAACUCGGGUGAAGGAACUAGGCAAAAUGGUGCCGUAACUUCGGGAGAAGGCACGCUGGCAUGUAGGUGAAGUCCCUCGCGGAUGGAGCCGAAGCCAGUCGAAGAUACCAGCUGGCUGCAACUGUUUAAUAAAAACACAGCACUCUGCAAACACGAAAGUGGACGUAUAGGGUGUGACGCCUGCCCGGUGCUGGAAGGUUAAUUGAUGGGGUCAGCCGCAAGGCGAAGCUCUUGAUCGAAGCCCCAGUAAACGGCGGCCGUAACUAUAACGGUCCUAAGGUAGCGAAAUUCCUUGUCGGGUAAGUUCCGACCUGCACGAAUGGCGUAAUGAUGGCCAGGCUGUCUCCACCCGAGACUCAGUGAAAUUGAACUCGCUGUGAAGAUGCAGUGUACCCGCGGCAAGACGGAAAGACCCCGUGAACCUUUACUAUAGCUUGACACUGAACAUUGAACCUUGAUGUGUAGGAUAGGUGGGAGGCUUUGAAGUGUGGACGCCAGUCUGCAUGGAGCCGACCUUGAAAUACCACCCUUUAAUGUUUGAUGUUCUAACCUGGUCCCGUAAUCCGGGAUAGGGACAGUGUCUGGUGGGUAGUUUGACUGGGGCGGUCUCCUCCCAAAGAGUAACGGAGGAGCACGAAGGUUAGCUAAUCCUGGUCGGACAUCAGGAGGUUAGUGCAAAGGCAUAAGCUAGCUUGACUGCGAGAGUGACGGCUCGAGCAGGUGCGAAAGCAGGUCUUAGUGAUCCGGUGGUUCUGAAUGGAAGGGCCAUCGCUCAACGGAUAAAAGGUACUCCGGGGAUAACAGGCUGAUACCGCCCAAGAGUUCAUAUCGACGGCGGUGUUUGGCACCUCGAUGUCGGCUCAUCACAUCCUGGGGCUGAAGUAGGUCCCAAGGGUAUGGCUGUUCGCCAUUUAAAGUGGUACGCGAGCUGGGUUUAGAACGUCGUGAGACAGUUCGGUCCCUAUCUGCCGUGGGCGUUGGAAGAUUGAGAGGGGCUGCUCCUAGUACGAGAGGACCGGAGUGGACGCACCGCUGGUGUUCGGGUUGUGAUGCCAAUUGCAUUGCCCGGUAGCUACGUGCGGAAGAGAUAAGCGCUGAAAGCAUCUAAGCGCGAAACUUGCCUCGAGAUGAGUCUUCCCUUGGACCUUGAGUCCACUGAAGGAACGUUUAAGACUAAGACGUUGAUAGGCUGGGUGUGUAAGCGUAGCGAUACGUUGAGCUAACCAGUACUAAUGAUCCGUGAGGCUUAACCUU
Molecule: ribosomal RNA, 2907 nt
Filed under: Edwardsiella tarda
Lineage: Bacteria; Pseudomonadati; Pseudomonadota; Gammaproteobacteria; Enterobacterales; Hafniaceae
Description: bacterial LSU rRNA
Rfam family: Bacterial large subunit ribosomal RNA
Source: RNAcentral